UCCAUCCAGUGGUAACACUGGUGAAGACCUAGCGGCGAACGGGUGAGUAACACGUGAGAAACCUGCCCCGAAGACCGGGAUAACUCUCCGAAAGGAGAGCUAAUACCGGAUGCCCCCACCAGGCCGCAUGACUUGGUGAGGAAAUGGAUUCCGCUUCGGGAGGGUCUCGCGGCCUAUCAGCUUGUUGGUGAGGUAACGGCUCACCAAGGCUUCGACGGGUAGCUGGUCUGAGAGGAUGAUCAGCCACACUGGGACUGAGACACGGCCCAGACUCCUACGGGAGGCAGCAGUGGGGAAUCUUGCGCAAUGGGCGAAAGCCUGACGCAGCAACGCCGCGUGGGGGAUGAAGGCUCUCGGGUUGUAAACCCCUUUCAGCAGGGAAGAUAAUGACGGUACCUGCAGAAGAAGCCCCGGCCAACUACGUGCCAGCAGCCGCGGUAAUACGUAGGGGGCAAGCGUUGUCCGGAUUUAUUGGGCGUAAAGAGCUUGUAGGCGGCUUGGUAAGUCGAGUGUGAAAACUCCAGGCUCAACCUGGAGACGCCAUUCGAUACUGCCAUGGCUAGAGUCCGGUAGAGGAGCACGGAAUUCCUGGUGUAGCGGUGAAAUGCGCAGAUAUCAGGAGGAACACCAGCAGCGAAGGCGGUGCUCUGGGCCGGUACUGACGCUGAGAAGCGAAAGCGUGGGGAGCGAACAGGAUUAGAUACCCUGGUAGUCCACGCCGUAAACGUUGGGCACUAGGUGUGGGUCCCUAUCGACGGGAUCUGUGCCGUAGCUAACGCAUUAAGUGCCCCGCCUGG
RNAcentral lists this ribosomal RNA (797 nucleotides) under uncultured bacterium. RNAcentral's name for it is "bacterial SSU rRNA". It matches the Rfam family "Bacterial small subunit ribosomal RNA", at positions 68 to 876 of the family's 1533-position model. The record is from RNAcentral.